Molecule: long non-coding RNA, 306 nt
Organism: Carassius gibelio (silver crucian carp)
Lineage: Eukaryota; Metazoa; Chordata; Actinopteri; Cypriniformes; Cyprinidae
Exons: 2
Source: RefSeq, a predicted model, not a curated record
UGUAACUGCUGUAGAGUAUAAUGAUACUAACUCUAGUUUCUCCAGCUUGAAUUGUGUGUUCAUCAGUAGAUCACUGAGGUGUUUCACUCCAGAGUCUCCUAGUAGUUCAUUCAGACUCAGGUUCAGUUCUCUCAGGUGUGAUGGGUUUGAUUUCAGAGCUGAAGUCAGGAUGAGACACUGUUUCUCUGUAAUACUGCAUCCACACAGACUGAAGACAGAAAGAGAAAACACAAUGAAUCAGACACGUUAUGUUCAUGUGUGAGUAAUUCAUCAUGUGUUAACAACAUACAGUGCAAUAAAUAAAAC